This 253-nucleotide ribosomal RNA is filed under the name uncultured bacterium. RNAcentral describes it as "partial 16S ribosomal RNA". It matches the Rfam family "Bacterial small subunit ribosomal RNA", at positions 524 to 776 of the family's 1533-position model. The record is from RNAcentral.
GACGUAGGAUGCAAGCGUUAUCCGGAAUCAUUGGGCGUAAAGCGUUCGUAGGCGGCAUGUCAAGUCUGAUGUUAAAGCCCGGAGCUCAACUCCGGUUCGGCAUUGGAUACUGGCAAGCUAGAGUGCAAUAGAGGUAAGGGGAAUUCCUAGUGUAGCGGUGAAAUGCGUAGAUAUUAGGAGGAACACCGGUGGCGAAAGCGCCUUACUGGGUUGUGACUGACGCUGAGGAACGAAAGCCAGGGUAGCAAAUGGG